RNAcentral lists this non-coding RNA (87 nucleotides) under Pseudomonas jessenii. The record is from RNAcentral. Lineage: Bacteria; Pseudomonadati; Pseudomonadota; Gammaproteobacteria; Pseudomonadales; Pseudomonadaceae. RNAcentral also lists the same sequence under 1 other name.
CUUUAUGGCGGCUGUGUGCGGGCAGACCUCGGUCUGGCCGGAUUGCUCUCUUGCCGGUUUCUCACUCCGCACAUAGCUGCCACCUCU